AGAGUGGCGAACGGGUGAGUAAUGCGUGACCAACCUGCCCUUUGCGCUGGGAUAGCCUCGGGAAACCGAGGUUAAUACCGGAUACUCCAUAUUUGUCGCAUGGCGAAUAUGGGAAAGCUCCGGCGGCAAAGGAUGGGCCCGCGGCCUGUUAGCUAGUUGGUGGGGUAGUGGCCUACCAAGGCAAUGAUGGGUAGCCGGGUUGAGAGACCGACCGGCCAGAUUGGGACUGAGACACGGCCCAGACUCCUACGGGAGGCAGCAGUG
Molecule: ribosomal RNA, 264 nt
Filed under: uncultured Atopobium sp.
Lineage: Bacteria; Bacillati; Actinomycetota; Coriobacteriia; Coriobacteriales; Atopobiaceae
Description: partial 16S ribosomal RNA
Rfam family: Bacterial small subunit ribosomal RNA
Source: RNAcentral